Small nucleolar RNA from Lepus europaeus (European hare), 80 nucleotides. RefSeq annotates it as small nucleolar RNA SNORD115. NCBI's taxonomy places the organism in Eukaryota, Metazoa, Chordata, Mammalia, Lagomorpha, Leporidae. The record is from RefSeq and is a predicted model, not a curated record. The transcript has a single exon.
AGGUCAAUGAUGAGUCCUUAUACUGUGUUGAGACAGAUGAAGACUUAAAAAUUAUGCUCAAUAGGGUUAUGUUGAGACCC